RNAcentral lists this ribosomal RNA (267 nucleotides) under uncultured bacterium. RNAcentral's name for it is "partial 16S ribosomal RNA". It matches the Rfam family "Bacterial small subunit ribosomal RNA", at positions 92 to 354 of the family's 1533-position model. The record is from RNAcentral.
CGACCGGCGCACGGGUGAGUAACACGUAUGGAACCUGCCCUAUGCAGGGGGAUAAGCGGAAGAAAUUCCGUCUAAUACCGCAUAACACCUUUAGGAGACAUCUUCUUGGGGGUCAAAGGAGGCGACUCCGGCAUAGGAUGGCCAUGCGUCGCAUUAGCUAGUCGGCGGGGUAACGGCCCACCGAGGCGACGAUGCGUAGGGGUUCUGAGAGGAAGGUCCCCCACACUGGUACUGAGACACGGACCAGACUCCUACGGAAGGCAGCAG